RNAcentral lists this ribosomal RNA (277 nucleotides) under uncultured prokaryote. RNAcentral describes it as "partial 16S ribosomal RNA". It matches the Rfam family "Bacterial small subunit ribosomal RNA", at positions 524 to 800 of the family's 1533-position model. The record is from RNAcentral.
CACGGGGGUUGCGAGCGUUGUCCGGAAUUACUAGGCGUAAAGGGCAGGCAGGCGGAUCCAUAAGUUUAUCGUUUAAGGCGUCGGCUUAACCGGCGUAGGGCGGUAGAUACUGUGGAUCUGGAAUGCGGUUGGGGAAGACAGAAUUCCUGGUGUAGCAGUGGAAUGCGCAGAGAUCAGGAGGAAUACCGAAGGCGAAGGCAGUCUUCCAAGCCGUUAUUGACGCUCAACUGCGAAGGUGUGGGUAUCAAACAGGAUUAGAUACCCCCGUAGUCCCUGA